GAUGAACGCUGGCGGCGUGCCUAAUACAUGCAAGUCGAGCGAACAGACGAGGAGCUUGCUCCUCUGACGUUAGCGGCGGACGGGUGAGUAACACGUGGAUAACCUACCUAUAAGACGGGGAUAACUUCGGGAAACCGGAGCUAGUACCGGAUAAUAUAUUGAACCGCAUGGUUCAAUAGUGAAAGACGGUUUUGCUGUCACUUAUAGAUGGAUCCGCGCCGCAUUAGCUAGUUGGUAAGGUAACGGCUUACCAAGGCAACGAUGCGUAGCCGACCUGAGAGGGUGAUCGGCCACACUGGAACUGAGACACGGUCCAGACUCCUACGGGAGGCAGCAGUAGGGAAUCUUCCGCAAUGGGCGAAAGCCUGACGGAGCAGCGCCGCGUGAGUGAUGAAGGUCUUCGGAUCGUAAAACUCUGUUAUUAGGGAAGAACAAAUGUGUAAGUAACUAUGCACGUCUUGACGGUACCUAAUCAGAAAGCCACGGCUAACUACGUG
This 497-nucleotide ribosomal RNA is filed under the name uncultured bacterium. RNAcentral describes it as "partial 16S ribosomal RNA". It matches the Rfam family "Bacterial small subunit ribosomal RNA", at positions 28 to 507 of the family's 1533-position model. The record is from RNAcentral.